AGAGUUCCACCAGCGCCACCAAGCCCGCCAGGUACACCAAGCCCGCCAGCGGUAGAACAAUCGCCUCCAAGAAGGCCCAACUCAAGAAGAAUGUCCACAACACCAACCCUGUUUGCACCUCCAUCUGCACCUCCAUCCUCACCUCCAUCCGUACAUCAGUCUAUACCUCCAUCUGCACCUCCACCUGUACCUCUAUCUGCACCUCCAUCCUCACCUCCAUCCGGACAUCGGUCUGUACCUCCAUCCGCACUUCCAUCCGUACAUCAGUCCGUACCUCCAUCUGCACCUCUGCCUUUACAUGGGAAGUUCGGGUGCAGGAAGCGAGGGGGGAGAAAGCGAAGGUGGAAGAAGAGCAACUGAGCGGGGAGGAAGUGGAUCUGGAGAAGACCAACCUUGGUUAUUUUUGUAAAUAGUGUUAUUUUUUAUUAUUGCUACUAUUAUUAUUAUUAUUAUUAUUUAUUAUUACUAUUAUUAUUAUUAUUAUUGAUAAUAAAUAUAUUCUUCUGAAAGACA
This is a long non-coding RNA of Hemicordylus capensis (graceful crag lizard), 513 nucleotides long. RefSeq lists it as uncharacterized. Lineage: Eukaryota; Metazoa; Chordata; Lepidosauria; Squamata; Cordylidae. The record is from RefSeq and is a predicted model, not a curated record. The transcript is spliced from 3 exons.